Molecule: ribosomal RNA, 253 nt
Filed under: uncultured bacterium
Lineage: Bacteria
Description: partial 16S ribosomal RNA
Rfam family: Bacterial small subunit ribosomal RNA
Source: RNAcentral
UACGUAGGGUGCAAGCGUUGUCCGGAAUUAUUGGGCGUAAAGGGCUCGUAGGCGGUCUGUCGCGUCGGGAGUGAAAACUCAGGGCUUAACCCUGAGCCUGCUUCCGAUACGGGCAGACUAGAGGUAUGCAGGGGAGAACGGAAUUCCUGGUGUAGCGGUGGAAUGCGCAGAUAUCAGGAGGAACACCGGUGGCGAAGGCGGUUCUCUGGGCAUUAACUGACGCUGAGGAGCGAAAGCGUGGGGAGCGAACAGG